CCCCAGAUGACUGAGUUAGGUGUUAGAUUUUUAAUCUAAAGACGACAUAUAUUUAUUGUCUUUGGGGG
This 68-nucleotide transfer RNA is filed under the name Viviparus chui. RNAcentral describes it as "tRNA-Lys". Lineage: Eukaryota; Metazoa; Mollusca; Gastropoda; Architaenioglossa; Viviparidae. The record is from RNAcentral.